UAUCCGGAAUCAUUGGGCGUAAAGCGCCUGUAGGUUGUUUAAUAAGUCUGUUGUUAAAGACUAGGGCUUAACCCUAGGAAAGCAAUGGAAACUACUAGACUAGAGUAUGGCAGGGGUAGAGGGAAUUUCUAGUGUAGCGGUGAAAUGCGUAGAUAUUAGAAAGAACACCGGUGGCGAAAGCGCUCUACUGGACCAUUACUGACACUCAGAGGCGGAAGCUAGGGUAGCAAAAGGGAUUAGAUACCCCUGUAGUCUUAGCCGUAAACGAUGGAUACUAGAUGUUGUGCAUAAUGUACAGUAUCGUAGCUAACGCGUUAAGUAUCCCGCCUGGGGAGUACGCUCGCAAGGGUGAAACUCAAAGGAAUUGACGGGGGCCCGCACAAGCGGUGGAGCAUGUGGUUUAAUUCGAUGCAACGCGAAGAACCUUACCAGGGCUUGACAUACUACAAAUUCUUUAGAGAUAAGGAAGUGCCUUCGGGAAUGUAGAUACAGGUGGUGCAUGGCUGUCGUCAGCUCGUGUCGUGAGAUGUUGGGUUAAGUCCCGCAACGAGCGCAACCCUUAUUUUUAGUUACUAAUUCGUUAGGUUCUCUAGAAAGACUGCCGGUGACAAACCGGAGGAAGGUGAGGAUGUCGUCAAGUCAGCAUGCCCCUUAUGUCCUGGGCUACACACGUGCUACAAUGGUUAAGACAAAGGGUCGCGAGCUUGCAAGAGUCAGCUAAUCCCAUAAACUUAGCCUAAGUUCAGAUUGUAGGCUGCAAC
RNAcentral lists this ribosomal RNA (761 nucleotides) under uncultured marine haptophyte. RNAcentral's name for it is "bacterial SSU rRNA". It matches the Rfam family "Bacterial small subunit ribosomal RNA", at positions 542 to 1311 of the family's 1533-position model. Lineage: Eukaryota; Haptophyta. The record is from RNAcentral.